This 23-nucleotide microRNA is filed under the name Homo sapiens (human). RNAcentral's name for it is "hsa-miR-3937". Lineage: Eukaryota; Metazoa; Chordata; Mammalia; Primates; Hominidae. The record is from miRBase by way of RNAcentral.
ACAGGCGGCUGUAGCAAUGGGGG